UUGCAAUAAACAUAACAUUUAGUGUACUAGCAUGUACCCCAAUUAUAGGUGAGACAGCAUUCUAGUAUUUAGCAUUAGUCGGACAGGCUGUAGUACCAUUGUCUCGAGUGUGACCUUCUAGCGCCAUUCCUCCGCCUUGUGUUCUCUCUGAAGUGCCAGUCCAGGUGCUGGCUAUAUCUAGAGGUGUGGAGGAGUCUCUGAUCGUGGGCGGAGGCGGGGCGCUGGCUUCCUCCGCCUGGGGCAGUUGGCGGAGAUUCACGUCUUCAUUUCCGAAGAGGCUGUAAUAAAUCCAUUUUGUAAAUAC
Long non-coding RNA from Amyelois transitella, 304 nucleotides. RefSeq lists it as uncharacterized. The transcript has 3 exons. The record is from RefSeq and is a predicted model, not a curated record. Lineage: Eukaryota; Metazoa; Arthropoda; Insecta; Lepidoptera; Pyralidae.